Molecule: ribosomal RNA, 429 nt
Filed under: Chloroflexota bacterium
Lineage: Bacteria; Bacillati; Chloroflexota
Description: Chloroflexi bacterium partial 16S ribosomal RNA
Rfam family: Bacterial small subunit ribosomal RNA
Source: RNAcentral
UGGGGAAUAUUGCACAAUGGGCGCAAGCCUGAUGCAGCCAUGCCGCGUGUAUGAAGAAGGCCUUCGGGUUGUAAAGUACUUUCAGUCGGGAGGAAGGUGGUAAGGUUAAUAACCUUAUCAAUUGACGUUACCGACAGAAGAAGCACCGGCUAACUCCGUGCCAGCAGCCGCGGUAAUACGGAGGGUGCAAGCGUUAAUCGGAAUUACUGGGCGUAAAGCGCACGCAGGCGGUUGAUUGAGUCAGAUGUGAAAUCCCCGGGCUUAACCCGGGAAUUGCAUCUGAUACUGGUAAGCUAGAGUCUUGUAGAGGGGGGUAGAAUUCCAUGUGUAGCGGUGAAAUGCGUAGAGAUGUGGAGGAAUACCGGUGGCGAAGGCGGCCCCCUGGACAAAGACUGACGCUCAGGUGCGAAAGCGUGGGGAGCAAACAGG